RNAcentral lists this long non-coding RNA (1347 nucleotides) under Mastacembelus armatus (zig-zag eel). RNAcentral's name for it is "lncRNA (ENSMAMG00000026820.1)". Lineage: Eukaryota; Metazoa; Chordata; Actinopteri; Synbranchiformes; Mastacembelidae. The record is from RNAcentral.
AUGAAUGAGUUUGUUAUUCUCUCUACAUAUUCAUGGUGUGUGUCCUUCAGAUGCAGUUCCUUGUUCUCACUGGCUGUUGAGUGGAAACAUCAUCCAGAGGACUUAGAGGUUUGCCGCAGCAGGCUGCAGCUGUUCAGCCUGGCAGGAGGAGCCAGCAGAGCUGACCUCAGAGGAGUCAGCCCACUGGUGAAGAUUGUGGAUCAAAUCCCACAUGGAGCCACAACAAGUGACAAGUUCCUCCCUUUCCUUUUACAUGACGCCUUAACAGGAAACAACAGGACAGUCCUCAUCUACUGUAUUAACCCUCAGGGUCUUCUAGAUGAUGAGACCCCGUCUGCCUUAGCUUUGGCUCAGAAAGUGAGAAGACUGAUAACUAAGCCCACUGUUGGUUGCUGGCACCCAAGAGCAUCUGAGCAAGAGAUCAGGGAUAACGUCAUGGAUCUACGAACUAUAAUGAUGUCAGAAGGGGGAGAUGAUGUUCACAACACUUACAGGCUGGCAGAGCUGAUCCAAAAUCUGCAGAUUGUAAAGGAGCAGUCAUGGGAGAAGAGGAGGGAAGAGUCAAAGAAGAUCAAAUUCAAAAUAAAGAAAUCCUUAAAUAGCAAUAAGCAGCUUUCAAGCGACCACAGCACCGAUUGCAACGAGAGUACAGACACAAUGAAAUCCUUACAGGAUCAGCUGAGACGGGAAGUGGAAGAACAUAUUAGAGAGGGUAAAGGGAGUGUAGGGAAAGUCCAGAACAGAGUGGCAAGAAUCCAGCAGCUGAAGGAGGCUGUCAGGGAGGAGGCACUCAAGUGCGGGGUUGCUGCAGAUAAAUCAGACUUCCGUCAACAAUCUCAGCUGGAGUACAACAUAGCACAGGAGCGGAGGAGGCAACUUAAGGAGGAUCAUGGGAGAUUAAUUCAGGAUGAGGUGGAGAAGAUGGAAAGAGAUUUGGCACAGGAACAGCUACUGACAGAAGGCCCCCAGAGAGAGCUGCUGAUACUGACCAGAGAGAGGCAGAUCCUGGUGCUGCAGAUAGAGGCCCUGCGCACUGAGGCCCAGCAGGCUGAGAGAGACCUGCAGGAUCAACAUCACAGGCACCAAAGAGAGCUGCAGUGUCUGAGGGAGGAGAGCCUGCAGGUCUUCAGAGAGUUUCGUCAGGUAAGCGAAGAACAGAGGAAAAUGUCAGAGGGCAGGUACAGAAGUAUACUGCUGGAGGCUGUGCAGGAUGCCAUCUACCUGUCUGCCCAGAACCAGCAGCUACAGGCGGACAACAAACAACUCCACAAAGCUCUGGGAGAGCUAAAGGACGUUCUAGCUGUGAGAGGUGAUCUUAAGGAGGAAAUGUUUUCCCAACAAAAAUGA